Molecule: ribosomal RNA, 492 nt
Filed under: uncultured bacterium
Lineage: Bacteria
Description: partial 16S ribosomal RNA
Rfam family: Bacterial small subunit ribosomal RNA
Source: RNAcentral
AGUGAACGCUGGCGGUAGGCCUAACACAUGCAAGUCGAACGGCAGCACAGUAAGAGCUUGCUCUUACGGGUGGCGAGUGGCGUACGGGUGAGGUAUACAUCGGAAUCUACUUUUUCGUGGGGGAUAACGUAGGGAAACUUACGCUAAUACCGCAUACGACCUACGGGGGAAAGCAGGGGAUCUUCGGACUUUGCGCGAUUGAAUGAGCCGAUGUCGGAUUAGCUAGUUGGCGGGGUAAAGGCGCACCAAGGCGACGAUCCGUAGCUGGUCUGAGAGGAUGAUCAGCCACACUGGAACUGAGACACGGUCCAGACUCCUACGGGCGGCAGCAGUGCGGAAUAUUGGACGAUGGGCGCAAGCCUGAUCCAGCCAUACCGCGUGGGUGAAGAAGGCCUUCGGGUUGUAAAGCCCUUUUGUUGGGAAAGAAAAGCAGCAGGUUAAUACCCCGCUGUUCUGACGGUACCCAAAGAAUAAGCACCGGCUAACUUCGUG